This 1312-nucleotide long non-coding RNA is filed under the name Equus asinus (donkey). Its description in RNAcentral is "lncRNA (ENSEASG00005025331.1)". Lineage: Eukaryota; Metazoa; Chordata; Mammalia; Perissodactyla; Equidae. The record is from RNAcentral.
AGGCUCUCAGUAGAUGCAUGUUGAACAAAUCCUCAGCUCCUGGCACGUCUCUGCAGUGAAGAGACUGCUCCAGUACCCCCUGCAGGGUCCAGGCUCCCGGCAGCGCUCAGGGUUCAAGGCGGGAAGAGUGAAGGCGGGUGGGAGUCACAGCAAGCCCCCCAGAGAGCCCCAGGGAGAUGGCUUAGAGUCUUAGUGACAGCAGGUGCCGCUGGAACUAGGGCAGCAGGGUUACUGACUGCCGAUGGGGUCAAUCGGGCAUUUCUGGAUGAAGCUUAUGGGGGCGGGGGGCUGGGCGGGGUGGCGGUGGAGAGGGGGCGUCACUCCGGAGCACGCUCACACUCACACCUAACAGACCACCGCACAGGCGCCCGCACGGACCCGAAGAAGCAGGAUUAGGAGAGGCCAGAAAGCGAUCGACAGACAGGCAAGGCCGGAGGAUGUCCCAGAAGGUGGGGAAAGGGCAGAGAGGGGAGGGGAGCGACACCCGCGGGUCCGCAGCGCGCCUGCGGGAGGGCUGGGAGAGGGCGCCAGGGAGGGGACCCCCGCACCGGCCCGCCGCGGAGCCUCUCUGCCCGGCCGGGAGCACCCCCGGAGCAGGGCGCGUCCCCCGCCGGCGCUGCUCAGCCGGUCGCUGCCUCCUCUGCAGCCGCGGCGCUUCCACCUGCGCAGCCACCGCGCCGCCGGCUGCCAUUGGCUCGCUAAAAAUGCCUCUCUAAUCUGCGCGCAUCUGUGCACGCCUCCUCCCUCAUCCUCUCCCCCUCCUCGGCUCUGACCUUCCUCCUUCCCGCAGCCCCGGCGAGAUCCGGAGAGACGCGGUGGCUGCCGCGGCAGCACAACCUCCUCUUCCCCGGGGAAGUCUUCUGGGCUUGAGGCCGGGCCCCAGACGCCUCGCUUUGCCCCGCGGCGCCGCCGAUGGUGCCGGGCGCUCCUGCCCCCAGCCCAAUUAACACGUGCAGAGGAAGCUCUGACAAAACUGGCGGAAGACAAUUUUCCCCGAAUGGGGUUCCACUUGGGAAGAGGGAGACAAAGGAGGUAGGAGACGGCAAAAGAUGGAGUAGUUUCAAGGGGCACAGGCUGUUCUGACAUGGCGUAACUGAUCACCCAUAUUUUUGCUGGUUUUGGGGUCUCUUACUGAUGUAAACUUUGACAAGCCAUAAGGCUAUCCCAUUCUUGCCUCCCUUCCUUCUAACAUCCCUCUUGGGGACCCUCCCCCCAGCAGAAGGGACUGGCUCAGGCUGACAGUAGGGGUCGGGUGGGAGUGGAUGCUCCCUGGGCUGGGGAAGGAGGGGGUGACGGAGGAGGCAGCUUCUCC